UGGAAAAUUAUGCCGAUAAACAGGAUGGAAUUUGGGAAACAUUCGGAUUCUGACAACGGGCGAGAGUGGUUCGGUCGCGGCUUUUGAUCCAUCGGCUAUCACCCACGUUUUUCUGAAAAUAAAUUUUGUGCUUCUUCUAUUGGCAAGUUAACAAAGCUUUUUGAGUGGUUGUUUUUCCUUUGUAGUGUUCUGUGCUUGGCAGUUCUAGCAUACUGCGCAUUAAAACCCCGACUCAUAAUUUAACGUCGCGUUUAAUUUAACUAAAUAAUUGGGAGCAGUUUUAAUAAAUCAGUCCAGUCACAUAGAGUCCACGUUUGACACUCGCUACAACUCACAUGUGUCAAUCAGUGCAAUCGUCCAAAUUGCACUCACUUGCUACAAGCUCUCUUGUACACGCUCGUAUGAAAAUCACAUUGGCCAGCUCCGACAGAAGAUUCCGGACAACGAAUAAGCUCACACGCUACUAGUGCACGGCAUAUGAAACAAGGAGGAAUAACCUGGUGUUGUGUGUUCCGCUAAGGUCACCUGCCAAGCAAACAGAAUUCAAAAAAAAAAAAAAAA
Rhagoletis pomonella (apple maggot) is the source of this 561-nucleotide long non-coding RNA. RefSeq lists it as uncharacterized. The transcript is spliced from 3 exons. The record is from RefSeq and is a predicted model, not a curated record. Lineage: Eukaryota; Metazoa; Arthropoda; Insecta; Diptera; Tephritidae.